GUGGAGACAGAGGAGGCGUCAGAGGUAGCUCCUGUAAACGUCUCGCUCAAUGUGGCAUUGAAAUCUGAUGUUCAGGGACUUGAUGUAUGGUCAUGCAAACUUUCUGAUUUAAGCUUCAAAUAGUUAGCAUAGUAUGAUGAUGUUGUUAAAUAAUUAAAAUCCUAUAGCUUUGUUCAAUAAUAACUUGGUUUUUGUUUUCCUGUAUAUGCCUGAGAAAGCUUUAUGAUCCACUAUUAAGACAUUGUGACCCGAUUGUGUUUUGGAUACGUCACAUUUCCUCGACGACAAAAAACAUUAACAAUGACUAAAUCAAAAAGCAAACUAUGUUAAAUUUUGUUGAUGCAAAGCAAUCAAGCCUGCUUAUAAGAAAUAUUUACUGAAAAUAGUCUGAAAAUGUUUCCUUAUUUCAAAAGAAAUAAUUUUGUGUUGCACUACGUUCAUGCAACAGUCAACAGAUCCAAAUAUCAGUUGAACAAACCUGAAUUUGGGAGAAGGGGAUCUCAAAGCUGAAGCUCUCGUUGAAGUAAGGGUUAAGAGUGUUUUGCUUCACAGAUGUCUUCUUUUUCUUGAGUCGCUUGCCGUUGUGUUGCAGAACCACCUUGACAAACGGAUCUGAGAGGGACAAACACGAGUCAACACAGACUUCCAAUACGAGUCGAUCAUCAGCCUUUAGAUCUUUCCAUUCAUGUAUUGGUUGUCCGAGGUCUAUGCUGUUCAUUGGGAUCUUGAUUUCGCCGAUGACAUCGUGUUUUCCAAAACGGUCGAAAUCAAAAACCUGCAGCACCAGAGUUUGACCACCCAGCUCACUCAUGUACACUUUAACGUAAGGGUCAGAGGUUCCGCCAAUGUCCAUCGCUGGGAGGUCCUGAGCCUGAAGGAUGCCCACGAUCAACUGGAGAAGAAUCCAAGAGCAGAAGAGCCGUUCAAGUUCCAAACUACAGCUGGGUCUCCGUUACAAAUGUACACAAAUCUACGUAAAGUCUAUUUUCUGCUACUGUUGAGAAAACACAAUUUUGCAUUUGUGGUGUUUCUAUUAAAUGAGAAAUGAAAUUAAAAUCACAUGUGAAUUAUCUUGUUCACUUGAUAAGUCAGUAAAUAUCAUGGCAGUGACUGAUGUGAACAGUUGCAUGAGAUGGUAGCGCUCAUCAUCUAUCAGCCAAUCAGGGGAGACGUCAGCGUCUUAUUCAGGCGUUGGGAGCGGCUGCGGAUCCACUGUUUUGGAUGUGUAAUUGAAAAUAAUGAGGUGGUAAAAUAUUAAUGGUCUUUCUUAAUGUGUAGCUGAAAUGAUGACUAGCUCAUCAAUGUUUUCCUUUAUGUAUUUGUUUAUUUUUUGCCAGCAAACCCAUGUAAGGCAUCAUAUUUUGUAUACUGUAAUACCAAAGCCUGUUUGUGUUCAGACCUUAAUAAAUUUCCUACCAAAGGAAAGUACAAGUU
This is a long non-coding RNA of Xiphophorus hellerii (green swordtail), 1434 nucleotides long. RefSeq lists it as uncharacterized. The transcript is spliced from 3 exons. Lineage: Eukaryota; Metazoa; Chordata; Actinopteri; Cyprinodontiformes; Poeciliidae. The record is from RefSeq and is a predicted model, not a curated record.